CUCCUGACAUCAGUAAACCUUAUUCUCAACCGAAGCCAUCUGAGUCUCCAGAGCGUCUCUGAAUCUGCCUCCUCGUUCGUCUCUCCACAUCGCUGGAUUUCCCUAACAAGUCCGAGCCACUUUGUUCGCUUCCAGAGCCAAUUCUCACUCCUCAGAGUUCUCCUCGUAGUCGGGUGUGCAGGUCCUCCUGGUCGAUCUUGGCGUCCUGUUGGUGCCAGCGGUGGUGCGCCAGCAGGGCCACGUUCCUGGCGGAGAUGGCGCUCAUCUCCAUGGCGCUGGCCGCCCACUCCACGGCGCUGAGGUAGUAGAGCCGGUUGUGCAGGAUGAACGGAGGGGUCUUACGCUGCGGCGGACGGUAAGCCGGGUACGCCAGCCACGACGUCUCAGACACCGAAUCAUAGGAGAGGAACAUGUUCUGCAGCUGCUGCUGGGAAAGAGGCUGUGGAGAGAAAACCUUCCACACUUUAGCUUCGCUGGUGGGGGGUCGGUUGUAGCCCGCGGGGAUGUGCACCGGGUCCACAGAGCUCAGGCUGUUGAUGACGGAGCCCUUCGAGUCCGUGGUGAGGACGUCGGACACUCUGAACUCCGAGGGCGACUCGGUGGUGCCCAGGUAGGACACGUUCAGGAGGCCGUGGACCAGAGUGGACACCGUCUGGUGGUAGCGGCCCGGGAAGUGAGUGGGGAUCGAAGGGGAGAAGCCUGAGAAGGUGAUGUCCGAUUUCCCCUGGUGCAGUGGUGCUGCUAUGACCACAAUGUCGUAUAAACCGUGUGCUGCGCCUGAAUCUCCAACAUAGUGAAGCUCAUAGAAGCUCAUCGGGUUCCCUGAUAAUGGGAGAUGGAGAGAAGUUAAGAUGAAAUUUGUGAAACUUCCAAAGAGAAAAUGGUAAUGUCUGUGCCACAUCAUGGCGUGUAAAUGUUACCUGUCUUGGAUGGUCGAACCUUGACCGAAAUGGAAGUCACCCUGGCGUGGAUGAGCUCACUCUUGCUGUGGUAAAGCAGACCUGAGCACACUCUCUUAUUGCCUCCAUCCACUGCCCACAGGCCUGAAUCUGCCCCCGCUAGUGACACAGCACCUGGACAACAAAACAUGCAUGUUAAAUAGAUUUUACAGUUGCAAAAUGUAUCUAAAACGUUUGUCAUAUGCUGCAAAACCUACCAACAAAGCCACUGAUGCGAACACUUUGUCCAUAGUUGACACGAGUGAUGGGUGCAACAAUAUCGUUGAUGAAGACCUGUGAAAAUCCUUCACCCAUCAUGGUUUCCUCCAGCGUCUGAUUCAUCAGGAAAGCUGAUUCCUGCCUGCCUGGGUUCCUUCGUCUGCUGGUUUUCCGCCCUACCACGGAUUCUGCCUUCUUCUCCGGAGGAUCUCCACCUGUCGCCAGCUUAACCUGGUACCAUCAACGUACACCUGGAAAGAGGACUUUCCCUGGAAACAUCUGCCAUGACCGGGUUCUACUGACACCAACUUACCAAGCACAUGAGAACACCAGGAGGGAGAGUUCUGGAUAAAGCUAAACCAAAAGGACUGUUCUCAGCUCAUCAGUUAAGUCUCCAAGCCCUAGUAUCACCAGACUCGUUGUAUUGUUAAUACGUCGAAUUAAAUAAUCAGCGUUCUGUAUUUAACUUAAUGUAUUUUAUGCUUUGCAUAGGAUAGUUUUAUUCUGGGGUUUCAGCUCAUAAUUACUGGUAGUCUAGGCUGGGUUAGUUUUGUAUUUUCAGUUGUUUCCCUACCUUGGUGUUACCAUACGUGGGUUAACCUUAGUUUCAGUCUCUAUGUUUAUGUAGUUAUUCCUCCGUACCUCUAGAUGGUUUUUGAGUUCUAGUAGUAGUUUAGUUCUUCUUUGUCCAAGAUUCUAGUUCCGGUUCCUGUAUAGAGGUUUUUUUUUGUUUUGUUUUUUUUUUUUGGUGAAUAAAAGCAUUUUUAAAAUGUU
This is a long non-coding RNA of Amphiprion ocellaris (clown anemonefish), 1931 nucleotides long. RefSeq lists it as uncharacterized. The transcript is spliced from 3 exons. The record is from RefSeq and is a predicted model, not a curated record. Lineage: Eukaryota; Metazoa; Chordata; Actinopteri; Pomacentridae.